Falco peregrinus (peregrine falcon) is the source of this 886-nucleotide long non-coding RNA. RefSeq lists it as uncharacterized. The record is from RefSeq and is a predicted model, not a curated record. The transcript has 3 exons. NCBI's taxonomy places the organism in Eukaryota, Metazoa, Chordata, Aves, Falconiformes, Falconidae.
UCGCCAGACCCCCGAGCCUGCCGCGGCCCCCGCUCGCCCCGCGCCGCUGCCCCCGCUGCAGCAUCUCCCCCGCAGCCGGGCCCCAGCCCCAGGUGCCCCCGGCGCUGCCGUGGCGGCGGCCAGCCGGCCCCCCGCUGCCGCUCGGGAAGGGCCUGCGGCAGGAGCGGCUCCGGGCGGGGCCGAGCGGCGCCGGUCACGGCCCCCUGCGCUUCUGUCCCUCUGCCGGGGGCCGCGCCGCCUCGGGCUGGCGGGGGUUGUCCCUGCCCGGCCUCGCCCCCCGCGGCGCGGGUGCGGGAGGGGAGCGGGGGCACGGCCCGGUGUGGGCAGGAGCCGGGCCGGCCGGGGCGAGGCGAAGGAGAAGGAACCCGAGGGCAGGCGGGCAGCAGCUGCCUCCUGCUGCGGGCACAGAGGGCCUGGCCCUGCGGUGGGGGGGGACCAGCCCCGCAGCAGCCGGGUGCCAGCGUGCACAGCGGGGUCCGUGUGUCACCCGCGGGGUCCGUGUGUCACCCACAGCCUGGGGCGGCCCCCGGUGCGCGAGGGAGCGACGCGCCGUGUCCGGGAGGCCGCGUCUUGCGAGGAAGAGCUGUGAUGCCAUGAAAGGAUGGGGUAAGAAAACCUGAUGCCCUAAGCGUGUCAUUUCCAGAGAAACAUGUUGCUUAUACGCCUUCAUCUGGGAGGAGGACAGGUAUCCCCAACCCAACUGCAACAUACCUGGUCCACCGACGAUGGUCCCUGUCUGUCCUCGCAGUCAUCUAGGUGAGUAGGGGAGUCCUCCUGAGAAACCCUGGGGGCACCCAGAGGAGUCCUGUCCUCAGCAGGUCCUACAGCCGGACAGAGAGGGUCUCACCUGGGUCACCAAACUGACAUGUGGAAUCGAACUGUACAA